ACAAAGAAAUUUUUGUUUCCUGUCAUAUGGUUGCUGUAACUACUAUCUAGAUACCAAACUUCAUUACAUAUAUCAGUAUAAUCAAUCAAGCAAGUGAGAAAUAAAUUAUCAUCACUGGCAUCUUUUUCCUCAUGAAAGUUUGCUUGCUCUUUAGCCUUCAAGUAAUAGUUUCUUGCUAUAUGGCCAUAUUUCAUACAAUAAUAGCAUUGUGGAGCAUUUUUACUUUGAUUGGAUUUAUUUUUGAUCCAGCAGUUUUCCUCUUCAUGAUUAGAUUUUUCACAAUGACUACAUGAGGCAAAGUUACCUUCAUUACCUCUGUUGGUGCGAGAUAUCGACCGAUGCUGGAGGAGCUAGAGCGGACGGUCGAGGUCGAUCUUCUGGGGGACAAGACCUAUAAAAAAAGCCCCGAUCGGAGGUGGCUCCAGUGGAAAUUCUCUGAUACUCAAGUCAGUAUCUCGUUCAAUAGAGGGAGGAGCGUAAGGGGCAGAGUGAUGGCUUAUCUUGGAGUCUCCUUUUUUAUAUCUUUUUAUAGACAGAGCUAGAGGUCAUUAGGCCUGAGACUGUAGGCUAUCGAGGUA
This 578-nucleotide long non-coding RNA is filed under the name Elaeis guineensis (African oil palm). RNAcentral describes it as "long non-coding RNA (EGUI_LNC043354)". The record is from RNAcentral. Lineage: Eukaryota; Viridiplantae; Streptophyta; Magnoliopsida; Arecales; Arecaceae.